RNAcentral lists this ribosomal RNA (923 nucleotides) under uncultured bacterium. RNAcentral describes it as "bacterial SSU rRNA". It matches the Rfam family "Bacterial small subunit ribosomal RNA", at positions 8 to 946 of the family's 1533-position model. The record is from RNAcentral.
AGAGUUUGAUCCUGGCUCAGGACGAACGCUGGCGGCGUGCUUAACACAUGCAAGUCGAGCGAUGAGAUCACUUCGGUGAUGGAUUAGCGGCGAACGGGUGAGGAACACGUGAAGAAUCUGCCUUCAACUCUGGGAUAACUCCGGGAAACCGGGGCUAAUACCGGAUAUGAGCCUUGAUCGCAUGAUCGGGGCUGGAAAGUUUUUCGGUUGAAGAUGACUUCGCGGCCUAUCAGCUUGUUGGUGAGGUAAUGGCUCACCAAGGCGACGACGGGUAGCCGGCCUGAGAGGGCGACCGGCCACACUGGGACUGAGACACGGCCCAGACUCCUACGGGAGGCUGCAGUGGGGAAUAUUGGGCAAUGGAGGAAACUCUGACCCAGCGACGCCGCGUGCGGGAUGAAGGCCUUCGGGUUGUAAACCGCUUUCAGCAGGGAAUAAGCGCAAGUGAAGGUACCUGCAGAAGAAGCACCGGCUAACUAUGUGCCAGCAGCCGCGGUAAUACAUAGGGUGCAAGCGUUGUCCGGAAUUAUUGGGCGUAAAGAGCUCGUAGGUGGUUUGUUACGUCGGUUGUGAAAUUCAGGGGCUCAACCCCUGACUUGCAGCCGAUACGGGCAAGCUAGAGUUUGGUAGGGGAGACUGGAAUUCCUGGUGUAGCGGUGGAAUGCGCAGAUAUCAGGAGGAACACCGAUGGCGAAGGCAGGUCUCUGGGCCAAUACUGACACUGAGGAGCGAAAGCGUGGGGAGCGAACAGGAUUAGAUACCCUGGUAGUCCACGCCGUAAACGGUGGGCGCUAGUUGUGCGAACCUUCCACGGUUUGUGCGACGCAGCUAACGCAUUAAGCGCCCCGCCUGGGGAGUACGAUCGCAAGAUUAAAACUCAAAGGAAUUGACGGGGCCCCGCACAAGCAGCGGAGCAUGCGGCU